UGGCGGGCAGUCCGGGUGGUUAGGCGUCACCUGUAACCCGAUAUCGUCUUAAGCGGGGGGCGAAGCUGGCGGAAGACUUGGGGCGCUGUGUGCUCAGUCCAGGUGUCAACCAUGAUUCUCCGUCCUGUAGGGAUUGCACCGGCCCACGGGCCUUCCUGAAGGAAGGUCUGUGUGCCAUAAUUGCGGGAACCGGUUCAGGCCCGGAAGGGAGCAGACCCACCGCGGGUAACAGUCGCUUGCAGGUUUAAGGGGAGGAGAAGGCAUCGGGAUUAACUGGCAUGCAAGCUCUAUGGCAACCGCCGGCGGGCCCGCCA
Molecule: signal recognition particle RNA, 314 nt
Filed under: Methanothrix sp.
Lineage: Archaea; Methanobacteriati; Methanobacteriota; Methanomicrobia; Methanotrichales; Methanotrichaceae
Description: signal recognition particle sRNA
Rfam family: Archaeal signal recognition particle RNA
Source: RNAcentral